GUAGGGAAUCUUGCGCAAUGGGCGAAAGCCUGACGCAGCCAUGCCGCGUGAAUGAUGAAGGUCUUAGGAUUGUAAAAUUCUUUCACCGGGGACGAUAAUGACGGUACCCGGAGAAGAAGCCCCGGCUAACUUCGUGCCAGCAGCCGCGGUAAUACGAAGGGGGCUAGCGUUGCUCGGAAUUACUGGGCGUAAAGGGAGCGUAGGCGGAUAGUUUAGUCAGAGGUGAAAGCGCAGGGCUCAACCUUGGAAUUGCCUUUGAUACUGGCUAUCUUGAGUAUGGAAGAGGUAUGUGGAACUCCGAGUGUAGAGGUGAAAGUCGUAGAUAUUCGGAAGAACACCAGUGGCGAAGGCGACAUACUGGUCCAUUACUGACGCUGAGGCUCGAAAGCGUGGGGAGCAAACAGGAUUAGAAACCCGUGUAGUCC
RNAcentral lists this ribosomal RNA (425 nucleotides) under uncultured bacterium. RNAcentral describes it as "partial 16S ribosomal RNA". It matches the Rfam family "Bacterial small subunit ribosomal RNA", at positions 354 to 796 of the family's 1533-position model. The record is from RNAcentral.